GUGAGGAAUAUUGGUCAAUGGGCGGAAGCCUGAACCAGCCAUCCCGCGUGGAGGAAGACGGCCCUAUGGGUUGUAAACUUCUUUUCAAGGGGAAGAAAGUUCGCGACGUGUCGCGAUUUGCCGGUACCUUUGGAAUAAGCAUCGGCUAACUCCGUGCCAGCAGCCGCGGUAAUACGGAGGAUGCGAGCGUUAUCCGGAUUUAUUGGGUUUAAAGGGUGCGUAGGCCGAACGAUAAGUCAGCGGUGAAAUACCAUGGCCCAACCAUGGAACUGCAGUUGAUACUGUCGGUCUUGAAUAUGGUCAAGGUAGGCGGAAUGUGUAAUGUAGCGGUGAAAUGCUUAGAUAUUACACAGAACACCGAUUGCGAAGGCAGCUUACUGGUCCAUUAUUGACGCUGAGGCACGAAAGCGUGGGGAUCGAACAGGAUUAGAAACCCGGGUAGUCC
Molecule: ribosomal RNA, 445 nt
Filed under: uncultured bacterium
Lineage: Bacteria
Description: partial 16S ribosomal RNA
Rfam family: Bacterial small subunit ribosomal RNA
Source: RNAcentral